CCUACGGGAGGCUGCAGUGGGGGAUAUUGCACAAUGGGGGGAACCCUGAUGCAGCGACGCCGCGUGGGUGAAGAAGCGCCUCGGCGCGUAAAGCCCUGUCAGCAGGGAAGAAAAUGACGGUACCUGAAGAAGAAGCCCCGGCUAACUACGUGCCAGCAGCCGCGGUAAUACGUAGGGGGCAAGCGUUAUCCGGAUUUACUGGGGGUAAGGGGGGCGCAGACGGCGAUGCAAGCCAGGAGUGAAAGCCCGGGGCCCAACCCCGGGACUGCUCUUGGAACUGCGGGGCUGGAGUGCAGGAGGGGCAGGCGGAAUUCCUGGUGUAGCGGUGAAAUGCGUAGAUAUCAGGAGGAACACCGGUGGCGAAGGCGGCCUGCUGGACUGCAACUGACGUUGAGGCCCGAAAGCGUGGGGAGCAAACAGGAUUAGAUACCCCGGUAGUC
RNAcentral lists this ribosomal RNA (440 nucleotides) under uncultured bacterium. RNAcentral describes it as "partial 16S ribosomal RNA". It matches the Rfam family "Bacterial small subunit ribosomal RNA", at positions 338 to 795 of the family's 1533-position model. The record is from RNAcentral.